GAUGAACGCUAGCGGCGGGCCUAAUACAUGCAAGUCGAACGGGAAAGGUGGCAACACCUUGAGAGUGGCGUACGGGUGCGUAACGCGUAUACAACCUGCCUGUUACACGGGGAUAGCCUUGCGAAAGCGAGAUUAAUACCCGAUGGUACUAUUGAGCGGCAUCGCUUGGUAGUUAAAGCUGAGGCGGUAACAGAGGGGUAUGCGUCCCAUUAGCUAGUUGGUAGUGUAACGGACUACCAAGGCGACGAUGGGUAGGGGUUCUGAGAGGAUGAUCCCCCACACUGGUACUGAGAUACGGACCAGACUCCUACGGGAGGCAGCAGUAGGGAAUAUUGGGCAAUGGACGGAAGUCUGACCCAGCCACGCCGCGUGCAGGAAGAAGGUCCUCUGGAUUGUAAACUGCUUUUCUUGGGGAAGAAAACCCUUCUGCGGAAGGAAUUGACGGUACUCAAGGAAUAAGCAUCGGCUAACUCCGUG
Molecule: ribosomal RNA, 477 nt
Filed under: uncultured bacterium
Lineage: Bacteria
Description: bacterial SSU rRNA
Rfam family: Bacterial small subunit ribosomal RNA
Source: RNAcentral